UCCCUACGGGGGGCAGCAGUGAGGAAUAUUGGUCAAUGGGAGAGAUCCUGAACCAGCCAAGCCGCGUGAGGGAAGACGGCCCUAUGGGUUGUAAACCUCUUUUGUCGGAGAACAAAACCCGGGACGUGUCCCGGACUGCGUGUAUCCGAAGAGAAAGCAUCGGCUAACUCCGUGCCAGCAGCCGCGGUAAUACGGAGGAUGCGAGCGUUAUCCGGAUUUAUUGGGUUUAAAGGGUGCGUAGGCGGACUGUCAAGUCAGCGGUAAAAUACGGGGGCUCAACCUCCGCCCGCCGUUGAAACUGACGG
This 305-nucleotide ribosomal RNA is filed under the name uncultured bacterium. RNAcentral describes it as "bacterial SSU rRNA". It matches the Rfam family "Bacterial small subunit ribosomal RNA", at positions 335 to 639 of the family's 1533-position model. The record is from RNAcentral.